This 396-nucleotide ribosomal RNA is filed under the name uncultured bacterium. RNAcentral's name for it is "partial 16S ribosomal RNA". It matches the Rfam family "Bacterial small subunit ribosomal RNA", at positions 523 to 918 of the family's 1533-position model. The record is from RNAcentral.
AUACGUAGGUCCCGAGCGUUGUCCGGAUUUAUUGGGCGUAAAGCGAGCGCAGGCGGUUUAAUAAGUCUGAAGUUAAAGGCAGUGGCUUAACCAUUGUUCGCUUUGGAAACUGUUAGACUUGAGUGCAGAAGGGGAGAGUGGAAUUCCAUGUGUAGCGGUGAAAUGCGUAGAUAUAUGGAGGAACACCGGUGGCGAAAGCGGCUCUCUGGUCUGUAACUGACGCUGAGGCUCGAAAGCGUGGGGAGCAAACAGGAUUAGAUACCCUGGUAGUCCACGCCGUAAACGAUGAGUGCUAGGUGUUAGGCCCUUUCCGGGGCUUAGUGCCGCAGCUAACGCAUUAAGCACUCCGCCUGGGGAGUACGACCGCAAGGUUGAAACUCAAAGGAAUUGGCGGGG